This 67-nucleotide transfer RNA is filed under the name Conus tabidus. RNAcentral's name for it is "tRNA-Asp". Lineage: Eukaryota; Metazoa; Mollusca; Gastropoda; Neogastropoda; Conidae. The record is from RNAcentral.
GAGAGAUUAGUUAAAUUAUAAUAUAAGAUUGUCAGUCUUACGUUACUAAUCGAAUUAGUAUCUCUUG